AGAAAGGCAAUGAAGAGAAGAGUAGGCUGCGGAACUUUCCACAGAGAGCCUUUGCGUGGUGGAAAAAGGCGAAGGGGAACCGGCUGAAGAUGGUCUCGGAGCCGCGCGGGCGAAAUCUUUUAGUUCGCGACGGGUUCACCCGUUACAGUGACAGGCAUUUGAGCGCCAGAUGCCGGUUGAGGCCCUUUUUACAGGGUGAAGCAAGGUGGUACCACGAAGCUGUUAUGCUCUCGUCCUUGAU
Molecule: non-coding RNA, 241 nt
Filed under: Anaerotruncus sp.
Lineage: Bacteria; Bacillati; Bacillota; Clostridia; Eubacteriales; Oscillospiraceae
Description: T-box sequence
Rfam family: T-box leader
About the family: Uncharged tRNA acts as the effector for transcription antitermination of genes in the T-box leader family.
Source: RNAcentral